AGGGCAGCAGCUGGGCUAGAAUGAAGCAGACAUCUCAGCUGAAGCCUUCAACUUGGACUACUACACAGAGGUUCUGGACCUCUCCUACCUGCUUGACCACCUGGCUUCUGACCCUUUCUUCCGCCACUACCGCCAG
This 136-nucleotide small RNA is filed under the name Pongo abelii (Sumatran orangutan). RNAcentral's name for it is "processed transcript". Lineage: Eukaryota; Metazoa; Chordata; Mammalia; Primates; Hominidae. The record is from RNAcentral.